AUGCACGGCGCCGGCCCUGCCGCCGACGGGAGGAGCAGGGCUUCACCGGACAAGGCCGCCGAGAGUACCAAGAAGGCGCGGCUGGACCUGCCUGACGGCCACGUGAAGGAACACAUGGCCAGAGGAGGAGAUGGAUGCGCUAUCGUCGCGACGUACGGCCCGAGAGAGGAGCUCGCCGUGAGGAUCGACAAGCGCCUGCUCCACUGCCUCCUCUGUACCGUCCCCUUAAAGCCCCCCGUCUUCCAGUGCAAAGCGGGGCACCUGGCAUGUGGCGGCUGCGUGGCCAAGCUGCCCUUCGGGCAGUGCAAGGCAUGCGUGGACAGCGGCGGCUUCUUCGACCCCUGCCCCGCGCUGGACGCCAUCGUGUCCUCCACCAGGAUCGUGUGCCCCAACGCCGGAUGCCAGAGGUACAUGACCUACCACGAGGUCGCCGAGCACCAGACUGCGUGCCUGCACACGCCCUGCCGUUGCACAGAGCCGGGCUGCGGCUACAUCAGCGCGCCGCAGGCGCUCGCCGGGCAUCUCCACACCGUCCACUUGGUGCCGAUGCGCCCCGUGCAGUACGGCAAGGUCGUCCAGCUUCAGCUGCCGGUGUUGACCCCGCGGGUGGUGCUCCUCGGCGUCGACAAUCACGUUUUCCUCUUGAUUUUGGGCGCGCUCGGCGCCGGCGUGACUGCCGUGUCCAUGGUGUGCGCUAGGGCGAGGGCGGUGACAUGCCCGCGGUUCAUGUGCAAGAUGUGGGUCAACCUGGAGCCACCCUCGGCGGCGGCGGCGAACGGCGGCAGGGCUGACUUUGUCCUGGUGGAGAUGCACAUGAGGAGCAGCUCGUCGCCCGGUGUGGUGGUCGUCGCGGACGAGCCCACGUUCCUAUCGGUGCCGCGGAUGUACCUGGUUCCAGCAGCAGGGAUUGGGGGUGAUGGGGCUGCGUCCUUGCAAGUUCCCCUGCACAUCCGCAUCGACAAGCUCUCCCCUUGGUCCGAUCAGAUCCGCAUCUGA
This 996-nucleotide ribosomal RNA is filed under the name Triticum aestivum (bread wheat). Its description in RNAcentral is "partial small subunit ribosomal RNA". The record is from RNAcentral. Lineage: Eukaryota; Viridiplantae; Streptophyta; Magnoliopsida; Poales; Poaceae.